Chlorocebus sabaeus (green monkey) is the source of this 4178-nucleotide non-coding RNA. The record is from RefSeq and is a predicted model, not a curated record. NCBI's taxonomy places the organism in Eukaryota, Metazoa, Chordata, Mammalia, Primates, Cercopithecidae.
AACAGAAGAGAGAAUGUGAAUGAGAGUAGAAAAGAAAGAAUGCCCUCCUCAGAUCCCUUUGGGAAUGAGGAAGGGUAGAAAUAAAAUCAUAACUAAAUAAGGGAAAAACUCCUGCUCUGCAAAAAAUAGUACAUCCCAGGCUUGGCUUUCUCCAUAUACACUUGACUGGAAGUCCGAUGUCUCCGAGGCAUCAUGGGUCUCACGGCCCAGGCCCAGAGAAUCAAAUCAUAAAGAUUUAUUCCACACCUCUGUUUGAUCUAGCACUGAGUUUUCCUCAGGGAAGUGAACAAUAUUUGGGCUUUGCCACAUCCGUAUGUCCGAGUGACUUAGAGUCAUAGGGUGCUUGCUGUAGACACACAGCCACAUCAUGCAGUACCGCCCUCUACUGGUUAAUGAAUCAAUUUAUUUUACAAGAUGAGAAAUUACUUGACUCUGUAUAGAAACCUUAGCAGUAGGGGCCAGGAGUUCUGUGAACUCAUCUUGUCUGAUCACUGCUUAUAAAAUGACUUCAGAUAAAUCACUUCACCCUUCAGUGCCUUACGUUUUUAAUCUGCACAAUGAGCACACUACAUUCACAGGGCACUGUAACACUAUCAGCAAGACCUGGGACAUAGCAUUGUAUUAUAGUCAAAACAAUUCUAAUAAUGUUAGGAGGUCCUCCCAGUAGUUCCACAUGAGUAACUAAAUCCAUUGGAGAGUAUCUAAGGUGGAUUCAUAUUGAUAGUAUAUAGAAUUCCAGGCUAUAGCAAGUCAUGUUUCGUGAUGUUUCAGUGUUUUGUCAUUGACCUGAUCAAAAUGUAAUGAGAAUUAACCGUAAUUUAUGACUGCAAAGUACUUGGCAACAUUACAUGUUCUAUAAAUACUAAAUAUUAUCGUUGUGUCUAUGAAUCUCUUACCCCCUCUUUCCUCAUACCACUUUUCUUGUUCCUAUCUAAUCUGUGAUGCUUUUCUGCCUUGCCAGUGCAAGUAGAAGUACGGAGCCUCUACCCUUUGCUAUUUUCCCAGAAGCUUCCCUCCAGCAUUUCAAGGAUGGAAGCAGUCUACCUUCUUGCCUUUCAGAAUAGCUGUACCCACACUAUCUCAGUCCUGUUUACUUGCCAAGAUCAUUCAAAGUCAACUCACCAGGGAAAUCAGUGUAGCUGCAGCCCCCACAAAUGCAGCAAUAAACAGGUGGAAGGUCAUUUGGAACUGCAGGAAAAUGAAAGAGGAAGAACUGUUUCUUGCAACAGCAAUAAUAUGCCUCAGUGUAAAUCAUGAAUACAGCUUUCUGAAUGUGUUGAUAUCUUUCUUGUGUGCUAAUUCUACAUCUUUAACUAAGUUUUCACUUCCCUAAAUGUGGGCCUCCCAGUCUUCAGUGUACACCAUAGCACCUUGCCCAUAACACCCAGAACACAGAAUACUCAUGAAAUAGCAUAGUACUCCAAAAUAAUGAACUGGUUCCCUACAGUUGUGCCCAGGGGUCCAAAAUUUAAAGUCAAUAUUUUGCUUUCAAAGAAAUAAUUUAUUGCCUUUCUCCCCAGGAUUCACUUUUAUUCCCCUUGCCUCAUUUGUAUAUAAUAUCUGUUCUCAAUACAGUGCUUUCCUUUUCAAAUGUACUUAUUUUACCUCUCAUUUGAGAUAAAGAAGUUCCAAACUGAAAAUGUUUUUAUAAAACCUAUGAAUGCCUCUGUGCACAGCCCAUUUUCUUGAUACGGUUUUUAACUAAAGGAAUGAAAAUUUUCAUGUGGGGGAUUUUGCCAUCAGGCUCUAUCUUUACCUAAAGCUACAGACUUCUCUUUUAAGAGGGGAAGGGUUGGAAAGAAAGUCUUUCUAUGCAGCUCUAGGGAAAACAGGUGUUUUACCUUCUAUGCUCAUUGGCUCAGGCAUACUUAGCCAAUAUGUUGUAGAAGGCAAUCGGCUAAUUCAAAAUCCAGCAAAGAGAAACUUUUAGUCCUUAAAAUUGAAGACCAUGGGUGUAAUUUGUAUGGUAUUAGCUACUCCCUUGUAAAAUAACCCAAAUAACCCACUCACCUCAGCUGUUUUGCAGAUGGACAGAAGGUUGGAGCCACAAACCUUGCCAGGGAAAGCAUUCCAUGGGAGAACACCUAAGUAAGACACAAACAUCAACCAGGGCUUGCCUGGAAUUUCGCUUUGCUACAGAGACAUCUGGAAAUGUGGAUUGAGGGUGGAAAUAAAAUGAAGAUGUCCUGGAAACUUCCAACUGAUCCUUGGGUCUAAUUGGUGUGGGAUAUGCAGCACAAGCAUGAGAAGCCAUGAAGUGAGAGCCCCGAGAGGGGCUCAGAGUCAAAAACUUAGCUGGCUGUUAGCUCCCAAAGUCCUUCCAAAUCUGCCCCAGCUCCCCACAUCACUCCUAGCUGCCCUUGGUCCUCUCCACUUUUCCCCUCCCGAUUCCUUGGAAAAUAAGCAUUCCUCACUCCCCCCCCCGCCCCGCCCAGCUCUACGAAUACAAUAGAGAAGAAAAAAUUGUCUUUUAAGAAAAUUUCCUCCAAAUCCUUCUCAGUUUCAACUGCAUGAAGACAAAAUGCAGGCUGUCAAUUCGAUGAACAGAUUAUGAUUAGGCUGGGGGAGGCUAGGAUUGUAAUAACUUUAUAGCUAUGAUAAUAAAGACUCAGAAGUGGGCAAGACCUAUGCAAGUUCGCAGACUAGGUUAAAGAAAAGGCCAGUGUUGAAGAUGUGGGUGAUUUCCAAGGAGGAUAAUCGACUUUGAGACAAGUCAAGAGCACGAUCUGGGAAUCAGGUAGUCAGUAUUCCAUCCUGAAAAUGAAAUGUCUUCAUCAGAGAGCUUAAGCCAGGCAGGCGAGAGGCAGGGAGUGGGUUAGAGUGAAGCAGCAGGUGGCAGUGAGGGUGGAGAGGAGAAAUGAAAUAUAGUCCUUGUCACAGAGAAAGAAUCGGUAAGACAAAAAUGGCUAAGCAGUAAAAACAGGGAAAUACUAUAUAAAACCUGCCUUAGCAAUAAGUUAUUUCUAAAGACUGUGAAGGUAGUUAAAUGCCCAGUGCUAGAUGGGAUCAGCCUAGGACAGUUUUCUAGAACAGGUGAAUCUUAAGCAGUGUCUGUCUGGGCUACUUGUCAGUCCUGUCUCCCUUCACAGCUCCCUUGACCUAGAGGCCAGCGUCUUCCCAUGGAUGGCCUUCAAAACAACUGGCUGGCAUAUAAUAAGAGGGGCACCUGUUGGAAGACUCCAGAGAAGGAAGGGCCAGAAAAGGGAUCCAGCCAGGUGACUGUGUCUCACUCAUCCCAGUGCCUUAAGGUUCCCAACUCCCUAGAAUCUAGUGUAUUCUCAUUGCUCUCUACACCCCGACACUCUGCCUCAGUACCUCAUCAGCCGACCUUUCCUGAGGGCUCCCUACAGACCUCAUAAGGUCCCGGCUUUGGCAGCUGCCCAGGCCUCCUUCUUUCAAAGUCACUGCCCAGAGCAGCCUUUUAGAGAUGUGAUUCCACCCGCUCCAACAUCAUCAUCAUCAUGAUCAUCAUCACCAUCAUAUGCUGUCCCUUUCAGUGAAACCAGGCCAAGCCCUUCAUCUCUGGUUGCUUGACUGGUUGAAAGGUGUCACUCUGGGCUGUGGGUGACACUUCAAAUCAAAGCUGGACUCCUAUGGAGCAGAUUGUCUAACACUGAGGUCGGAGUACCUUCCUUGACAAACCGCCAGCAGCCAAGAUGGAGAAGAAGGGGAACCUUGGUGCUCCCUGAUGAGAGCUGCACAUUCCCAGCACUUUGCCAGACAUCGAGGGAAAUAUAAAGAAAUGGGAUGGUUUCCGGAUGCAACCUUUGUUCUGAGAGAGCUUACAGCCUCCUCUGGAAGGAAUACUACAGACGUUAACAAAAUGAAGAUUCAAACACAACUAACAUUGAGCACCUACUCUGUGCCUAUCCUGACCUAAGUGCACAAGCAAGCCAAAUGUCAGCAGAGUGUCAUCCUGUCCAUCCAGUGCAAAUAUAAUUGGUUCAAGCUCCAUCUUAUCCCUUACCAGGGAAGUCCAGUGUCUUCCUCAAGAUUUCUGAGAAUUCUGAGAGGGCUCAGAAUUCCAUGUGGUUCUGAAUUUGGGCUCCUAAGGAACUUCUGAUUUCGGUUCAUCUUUUACGGCCACUACCGUCCGAUUUCUUUUUCUUUCCCUUCUUUCUUUCUUUUUUUUUUUUUUUUGAAUCGAAGUCUCUCUCUGUCACCCAGGCUGGAGUACA